AAUGGGCGAAAGCCUGAUGCAGCAACGCCGCGUGAGUGAUGAAGGUCUUCGGAUUGUAAAGCUCUGUCUUUUGGGACGAUAAUGACGGUACCAAAGGAGGAAGCCACGGCUAACUACGUGCCAGCAGCCGCGGUAAUACGUAGGUGGCAAGCGUUGUCCGGAUUUACUGGGCGUAAAGGGUGCGUAGGCGGAUGUUUAAGUGAGAUGUGAAAUACCCGGGCUUAACCUGGGUACUGCAUUUCAAACUGGAUAUCUAGAGUGCAGGAGAGGAGAAUGGAAUUCCUAGUGUAGCGGUGAAAUGCGUAGAGAUUAGGAAGAACACCAGUGGCGAAGGCGAUUCUCUGGACUGUAACUGACGCUGAGGCACGAAAGCGUGGGUAGCAAA
RNAcentral lists this ribosomal RNA (385 nucleotides) under uncultured bacterium. RNAcentral describes it as "bacterial SSU rRNA". It matches the Rfam family "Bacterial small subunit ribosomal RNA", at positions 370 to 772 of the family's 1533-position model. The record is from RNAcentral.